CAUAUCAAUAAGCGGAGGAAAAGAAACUAACAAGGAUUCCCCUAGUAACUGCGAGUGAAGCGGGAAAAGCUCAAAUUUAAAAUCUGACAGUCUUUGAUUGUCCGAGUUGUAAUCUAGAGAAGUGUUAUCCGCGCUGGACCGUGUACAAGUCUCCUGGAAUGGAGCGUCAUAGAGGGUGAGAAUCCCGUCUUUGACACGGACUGCCAGGGCUUUUGUGAUGCGCUCUCGAAGAGUCGAGUUGUUUGGGAAUGCAGCUCAAAAUGGGUGGUAAAUUCCAUCUAAAGCUAAAUAUUGGCGAGAGACCGAUAGCGAACAAGUACCGUGAGGGAAAGAUGAAAAGAACUUUGGAAAGAGAGUUAAACAGUACGUGAAAUUGCUGAAAGGGAAACGCUUGAAGUCAGUCAUGUCGUCCAGGGAUCAACCUUGCUUUUGCUUGGUGUACUUUCUGGUUGAUGGGUCAGCAUCAAUUUUUAUCAUUGGAAAAAAAUCAGGGAAAUGUGACAUCUUCGGAUGUGUUAUAGUCUUUGGUUGCAUACAAUGGUUGGGAUUGAGGAACUCAGCACGCCGAAAGGCCGGGUUUUUAUAACCACGUACGUGCUUAGGAUGCUGGCAUAAUGGCUUUAAUCGACCCGUCUUGAAACACGGACCAAGGAGUCUAACAUGCCUGCGAGUGUUUGGGUGGAAAACCCGAGCGCGUAAUGAAAGUGAAAGUUGAGAUCCCUGUCGUGGGGAGCAUCGACGCCCGGACCAGACCUUUUGUGACGGUUCCGCGGUAGAGCAUGUAUGUUGGGACCCGAAAGAUGGUGAACUAUGCCUGAAUAGGGUGAAGCCAGAGGAAACUCUGGUGGAGGCUCGUAGCGAUUCUGACGUGCAAAUCGAUCGUCAAAUUUGGGUAUAGGGGCGAAAGACUAAUCGAACCAUCUAGUAGCUGGUUCCUGCC
This 940-nucleotide ribosomal RNA is filed under the name Cortinarius minoscaurus. Its description in RNAcentral is "partial large subunit ribosomal RNA". It matches the Rfam family "Eukaryotic large subunit ribosomal RNA", at positions 39 to 962 of the family's 3401-position model. The record is from RNAcentral. Lineage: Eukaryota; Fungi; Basidiomycota; Agaricomycetes; Agaricales; Cortinariaceae.